This 24-nucleotide non-coding RNA is filed under the name Arabidopsis thaliana (thale cress). Lineage: Eukaryota; Viridiplantae; Streptophyta; Magnoliopsida; Brassicales; Brassicaceae. The record is from RNAcentral.
AUAAUGGUAUGAAAUCUAACCGGA